Molecule: ribosomal RNA, 378 nt
Filed under: uncultured bacterium
Lineage: Bacteria
Description: bacterial SSU rRNA
Rfam family: Bacterial small subunit ribosomal RNA
Source: RNAcentral
AGAGUUUGAUCAUGGCUCAGAACGAACGCUGGCGGCAGGCCUAACACAUGCAAGUCGAACGGAUGUAGCAAUACAUUAGUGGCGCACGGGAGAGUAACGCGUGGGAACCUACCUUUUGGUUUGGGAUAACGUCGGGAAACUGACGCUAAUACCAGAUAAGCCCUUCGGGGGAAAGAUUUAUCGCCGAUUGAUGGGCCCGCGUUAGAUUAGCUAGUUGGUGAGGUAACGGCUCACCAAGGCGACGAUCUAUAGCUGGUCUGAGAGGAUGACCAGCCUCACUGGGACUGAGACACGGCCCAGACUCCUACGGGAGGCAGCAGUGGGGAAUAUUGGACAAUGGGGGCAACCCUGAUCCAGCCAUGCCGCGUGAAUGAUGAA